Molecule: ribosomal RNA, 523 nt
Filed under: uncultured archaeon
Lineage: Archaea
Description: bacterial SSU rRNA
Rfam family: Archaeal small subunit ribosomal RNA
Source: RNAcentral
UAGCAAGGGCCGGGUAAGACCGGUGCCAGCCGCCGCGGUAAUACCGGCGGCUCGAGUGGUGGCCGAUAUUAUUGAGUCUAAAGGGUCCGUAGCCGGCUUUGCAAGUCCCCUGGGAAAUCCAGCGGCUUAACCGUUGGGCUUCCAUGGGAUACUACAUUGCUUGGGACUGGGAGAGGUAGGAGGUACUCGGGGGGUAGGGGUGAAAUCCUGUAAUCCUCCGGGGACCACCGGUGGCGAAGGCGUCCUACCAGAACAGGUCCGACGGUGAGGGACGAAAGCUAGGGGCACGAACCGGAUUAGAUACCCGGGUAGUCCUAGCCGUAAACGAUGCCCGCUAGGUGUCACGACGGUCGUGAAUCGUCGUGGUGCCGUAGGGAAGCCGCGAAGCGGGCCACUUGGGAAGUACGACCGCAAGGUUGAAACUUAAAGGAAUUGGCGGGGGAGCACCACAACGGGUGGAGCCUGCGGUUUAAUUGGAUUCAACGCCGGGAAGCUUACCGGGAUCGACAGUUGUAUGAAGGCC